This 78-nucleotide transfer RNA is filed under the name marine sediment metagenome. Its description in RNAcentral is "tRNA-Lys". It matches the Rfam family "tRNA". Rfam says of the family: Transfer RNA (tRNA) molecules are approximately 80 nucleotides in length. Their secondary structure includes four short double-helical elements and three loops (D, anti-codon, and T loops). The record is from RNAcentral.
AGGGGUGUAGCAAAAUUUGGUAUUGCAUCUGGCUCUUAACCAGAAAGAAAGUGGGUUCGAUUCCCAUCGCCCCUACCA